UGUGACUACCAUUUCCUAUUACAAUCAUUUGACCCAGCCUGGCUCUCAUUUUUCUAUGCUCAAAGGAAAUCAGAAAGUUUGAGUGAAAUUUCUGUCACCAAAACUCAAAAUGGUCUCACUGACAAGCUGGAUUCCUGUCUACAUAACUGUUCUUCUUCACUUACAUAUCUGGAAAGCAAGGGUUCAUGCCUCUGGAACAUCUGAAGAGGAUGGAGUAGAUAUCACAUACGUUAUCAUAGGAGUUACUCUUGGAGCCAUUUUAGCUAUUGGUUUUAUAGCAUUAAAGAUCUGUAUGAUCAAAAGACAAUUGAUUGACAAUAUCCUUGGAGAGUCAGAAGGGAAAAUGGAACGAAGGUCACAGCAAGGAUCAAGUGGGAACAGAGAAGCCACCUUACCGAAAACAGAAAAUACAAAUGAUCUCUAACUGUUUUGAAAUGGGGUGCAUUCAGGCAGAAAGUCACAUACUGCUGUGCCUAUUCUAUUACUCAAUGGAAGGCUUUUGUUCGUGGACUUUUGUUGCUUUCUCAUCAGGUACAAAUUCAGUUACUUAAAAAAUUGGAGGGAGUAACUGAUUUCAGGAAAGACUUUGUUGUGUGAUCUACUGAAGAUCAUUUGCACUCAGAAAAUGCUGUGCUCGUAAAUAGCAGAUGUCUAAAGGAAAUGUAUAAUGGAAAUACAAGAGAUGAACUUUGUUCAAAGCAGCUUUCAUAUAUGGCUGUAAUAGGUAUAAGAUGUAUUUGUAAAACAAUGAACUAAAGGGUGAUCCAAAACUAGAGAUGGGCUCAGCUUGCAAAAUUCAGAUUUCAAGUACAAGUAAGCAAAAAAGUUGAACUUUUCAUGUUGACAGCAAACAGAAAAAACAGGAAAAAUAUAAAUCCUGGAUGAAACCAAAACAGAAAAUUUUCUGGUUUUACAGUGAAACAGACAAAAAGGCAGAAUUGUUUUAUGCCAUGCUGCAACAUUUCACUCAAUGCAAAAGAAGCUGUUUUGCUUAUUCUUUCACGGUUUUUCUUGAUUUCUAAGAUGAAACAUUUAGUUUUGGAAACCUUGAAACAAAAUGUUUUGACAUUUUAAACCCCACCCCCAUUUGCACAGUUCAAUCCAAAAUCAUAAAGAGUCCUCCCUUCCACCAGCUGCCAACACCAUUUUUAGCAAAUUUAUUUUUCAUAAAACUUUUUUUCUGGAUCGAAGUUCAAGCACUUUAAAGAUACUUGACAAGGAAAGAAAUCAGAGGUUUGGCUUAAACCUUUGAAAAUGCAGGGACCAUUUGCAAAAUUUUGCUUCAGGUUUAAUUUUCAAACAGCAGCCUCAUCCUGCAAAAGCUGAGUGUUUAGACGUGAGAUCUCAAAUUAACUAAGCUAUUAGAUAUUAUAUAGAAAGGAGUUUAUCCAUGUUUGUUCUUAAAUAUAUGUGCCACUUGUUAUAAACAUUGUAAUAAAAUUUUAUUUGAACCAUUUGUUGUUUUGCA
This 1468-nucleotide long non-coding RNA is filed under the name Crocodylus porosus (Australian saltwater crocodile). RNAcentral's name for it is "lncRNA (ENSCPRG00005017847.1)". Lineage: Eukaryota; Metazoa; Chordata; Crocodylia; Crocodylidae. The record is from RNAcentral.